GAUGAACGCUGGCGGCGUGCCUAAUACAUGCAAGUCGAGCGAACGGACGAGAAGCUUGCUUCUCUGAUGUUAGCGGCGGACGGGUGAGUAACACGUGGAUAACCUACCUAUAAGACUGGGAUAACUUCGGGAAACCGUAGCUAAUACCGGAUAAUAUUUUGAACCGCAUGGUUCAAAAGUGAAAGACGGUCUUGCUGUCACUUAUAGAUGGAUCCGCGCUGCAUUAGCUAGUUGGUAAGGUAACGGCUUACCAAGGCAACGAUGCAUAGCCGACCUGAGAGGGUGAUCGGCCACACGGGAACUGAGACACGGUCCAGACUCCUACGGGAGGCAGCAGUAGGGAAUCUUCCGCAAUGGGCGAAAGCCUGACGGAGCAACGCCGCGUGAGUGAUGAAGGUCUUCGGGUCGUAAAACUCUGUUAUUAGGGAAGAACAUAUGUGUAAGUAACUGUGCACAUCUUGACGGUACCUAAUCAGAAAGCCACGGCUAACUACGUG
This 497-nucleotide ribosomal RNA is filed under the name uncultured bacterium. RNAcentral's name for it is "partial 16S ribosomal RNA". It matches the Rfam family "Bacterial small subunit ribosomal RNA", at positions 28 to 507 of the family's 1533-position model. The record is from RNAcentral.